This 421-nucleotide ribosomal RNA is filed under the name uncultured bacterium. RNAcentral's name for it is "bacterial SSU rRNA". It matches the Rfam family "Bacterial small subunit ribosomal RNA", at positions 355 to 774 of the family's 1533-position model. The record is from RNAcentral.
UAAGGAAUAUUGGUCAAUGGACGCAAGUCUGAACCAGCCAUGCCGCGUGAAGGAUGAAGGUCCUCUGGAUUGUAAACUUCUUUUAUCUGGGACGAAAACGGGAUUUUUAUCUCAAUUGACGGUACCAGAGGAAUAAGCACCUGCUAACUCCGUGCCAGCAGCCGCGGUAAUACGGAGGGUGCGAGCGUUAUCCGGAUUUACUGGGUUUAAAGGGUGCGUAGGUGGGCUUAUAAGUCAGUGGUGAAAUCUCCGAGCUUAACUUGGAAACUGCCGUUGAUACUAUAGGUCUUGAAUUAUCUGGAGGUAAGCGGAAUAUGUCAUGUAGCGGUGAAAUGCUUAGAUAUGACAUAGAACACCAAUUGCGAAGGCAGCUUACUACAUAUAAAUUGACGCUGAGGCACGAAAGCGUGGGGAUCAAACA